AACGAACGCUGGCGGCAGGCCUAACACAUGCAAGUCGAGCGCCCUUUCGGGGGAGCGGCGUCCGGGUGAGUAACGCGUGGCAAUAUGCCCUUCUCUACGGAAUCUCCUCGUGAGACUGAGAGUACUACCGUAUACCCCCUGUAGUGGAAAGUUUUAUUGGGGAAGGAUUAGACCACGUGGGAUUGGGUGGUUGGCUGGGUAAUGGCAUCCGAAGCGGGCUAUCUAUAGAUGGUUAUAGAGGAUGAUCAGCCACACUGGGACGGAGACACCGCCCAGAAUCCUACGGGAUGCAGGAGUGGCGAAUCGUGGAACAUGGGGUCAACCAUGAUGUAGCCCUGCUGGGUGAGCGAUGAAGGCCUUAGGGUUGUAAAGCUCUUUCAGCUGGGAAGAUAAUGACGGUACCAGAAGAAGAAGCCCCGGCUAACUACGUG
This 431-nucleotide ribosomal RNA is filed under the name uncultured bacterium. RNAcentral describes it as "partial 16S ribosomal RNA". It matches the Rfam family "Bacterial small subunit ribosomal RNA", at positions 29 to 507 of the family's 1533-position model. The record is from RNAcentral.